UACGUAGGUGGCAAGCGUUGUCCGGAUUUACUGGGCGUAAAGGGCGUGCAGGCGGUUUGUUAAGUUCAGGGUGAAAGCUCCCGGCUCAACUGGGAGAGGUCCUUGGAUACUGGCAGACUUGAGGAGGGUAGAGGAGAGUGGAAUUCCCGGUGUAGUGGUGAUAUGCGUAGAUAUCGGGAGGAACACCAGUGGCGAAAGCGCGAGACUGGGCCAUAACUGACGCUGAGGAACGAAAGCCAGGGGAGCAAAAGGG
Molecule: ribosomal RNA, 253 nt
Filed under: uncultured bacterium
Lineage: Bacteria
Description: partial 16S ribosomal RNA
Rfam family: Bacterial small subunit ribosomal RNA
Source: RNAcentral